GACGAACGCUGGCGGCGUGCUUAACACAUGCAAGUCGAACGGUAAGGCCCUUCGGGGUACACGAGUGGCGAACGGGUGAGUAACACGUGGGUGAUCUGCCCUGCACUUCGGGAUAAGCCUGGGAAACUGGGUCUCAUACCGGAUAGGACCACUGCCUGCAUGGGUGGUGGUGGAAAGCUUUUGCGGUGUGGGAUGGGCCCGCGGCCUAGCAGCUUGUUGGUGGGGGGAUGGCCUACCAAGGCGACGACGGGUAGCCGGCCUGAGAGGGUGACCGGCCACACUGGGACUGAGAUACGGCCCAGACUCCUACGGGAGGCAGCAGUGGGGAAUAUUGCACAAUGGGCGCAAGCCUGAUGCAGCGACGCCGCGUGAGGGAUGACGGCCUUCGGGUUGUAAACCUCUUUCAGCACCGACGAAGCGCAAGUGACGGUAGGUGCAGAAGAAGGACCGGCCAACUACGUGCCAGCCGCCGCCGUAA
RNAcentral lists this ribosomal RNA (478 nucleotides) under uncultured bacterium. Its description in RNAcentral is "partial 16S ribosomal RNA". It matches the Rfam family "Bacterial small subunit ribosomal RNA", at positions 28 to 523 of the family's 1533-position model. The record is from RNAcentral.